This is a long non-coding RNA of Mustela lutreola (European mink), 3871 nucleotides long. RefSeq lists it as uncharacterized. The transcript is spliced from 3 exons. NCBI's taxonomy places the organism in Eukaryota, Metazoa, Chordata, Mammalia, Carnivora, Mustelidae. The record is from RefSeq and is a predicted model, not a curated record.
AGAUCGUCAUAUCAUGGAAAUCACUCCCAGAUGACUGGGUCCAAUGGACUCACCAGACACGUUUCCAAUUAUCAUACAUAGGACGCCGAGUGGAGCUGCACGCAUGCGCACCGGGUCGGGACGGCGAGCUGCUGGAUACGGCAGGGUGUUUACGGGCCCGUCUCCCCUGCUGUCUGUGUCGUCUGCCAAGGGCCACAUCCCGUUUGUCCACUGGGCCCAGCACCCAGCAAGAGGCCCACAUAGAGCCAGAAGGCUGGGACCCCGUAAAGAAGGGACCCUGUCUUUGCUACCCUUGGAUUCUCACCACCCAGAACAGUGCCUGGCCCACAGGAUUAUGUAUUUGGUGCAUGUUCAGCAGAUGAACCAACGAAUGAAUGAAUGAAUGAGGGUUUUCCAGGCCAGUGCCUCCCUUGGGCUCACCCUCCUCCCGGUCCUCGGUGAGGAAGAAGACGAAGGUCAUUCCCAGCUUGCGCACUCCUGGGUUUCGCAGAUUCACUCUGCAGCCUCCAGCACGCUCUGCAGCAAAGCCAUGGUAGUACCACUGCUACUGAGGAUGAGGAUGACGACUAACUUUUGUCUCUAUCCUACAGAAGAGAAAAGCAAGGCCGGGAGAGCUCAAGUGAGCUGCUCGACAUCUCACCGCAGAAGCGCCCCAGAGCUGGGAUUCGAACCCAGGCAGUCUGGCCCCGGAGUCCACGCUCUUAGCUGCUCCCUACAACUGCCCCCCUGGUAGACAGUGUCCUUGUUUAGUGUCACCUGAUGCUGCCUGGGCUUAAAACCAGAGACGGGCGGCUCCUUGGCAGCUGUUUUCCCAGCUCUCGUUGGAAAUGGAUAGUGGAAACCCAAUUUGCACCCAGAGCCGGGUGUAUCGCCCCACUCUCUGCCUGGGUACAGUUCUACUCUGUGAGGCCAUGCUCAGCUCUCUGUUCCAUCUCCUAGUCCCCCCAGGGCCCCUCCCUUGGUAGAUGGGGGGGAGCAGACGGUGGGCGCUGGGAGUCCGAGACCAGGGCAGGGACUGGCCGUUGGGAGUGAGGUCCAAGCCGUGCUGAUUUGCAGAUGGAAAUUUACAUACAUAAUGUAAUUUGGGCCAAUUGAAUUGUCGAUUAAGAUGGAAUCACUUGACAUGCAACACGUACUCUGGCGGGUGACCGAGGAGACAAGAGGCCCUUGAGAUGCCUGUAGCAAAAACACGCUUUUGUUUUUCAAGGAGAUGGCCAUUUCCAAAUUCCACAUUUUAACAACCUCCUCUCUCAAGCCCCCCUUCCCUCUGGGUCACAGCUGGGAUCUGUUGAAAUGAAAAACUUUAUGGGCAAUUCACAUUUAAAUCCCAGGCACAGUCAGCAUGCUCCUGGGUGCAGCUGGGGAGGGGGGCCCUAGACACCUCCUCAGACUGCGGAGGCUGCAGGCCAGGGCCCUGGGUUGGAGCCCUACAACCCCCCACCUAUGACAAGCUAGGAAGUGGUGCUGGACACACACUGGGGCUGUGGGGGAAGGAAGGGGUGCACUUCCUGCCUCCACGAUCUUGGGCACCAGGCUUUGCCUCUCAGAGCCUCAAGCUCCUCAUCUAUGAAGUGGAGAGAAUGUUCCACCAUCAUCUGUGAUGAUUAUGGUGGGAAGGCAAGGUGAUAGCCUAAGAACCUUGGAAAUCAUUACAUGAUGCUCAUAAUAAUAACAAAGGGUAACUACCACAUUGCCACGAGGCUCCAAACUCUCCGUAUUACUUGUUAUUUUCAGGUUUAUUAAAACAGCAAAUUCCUUGUUGCCUCAGGGCAUUUGCAGAUUGUUUGAUUGUUCACUUCCUUCCUGCUCUGCCCUCCCUCCUCCCCUGCCCUUUGCCUGGUGGGCCUUCCAUCUUUCCUUAAGCUUCCACCUAAAUUCACUUUUCCAGGGACUUCUGUCUCCAUCCAAGCCUUCCUGUUCUAUGUUCUGAAUGCCCCGAACCUUUCCUUCUUACACAGUUGUAAUUUGAUGUGAUUCCUUGUGUCCUAUCAACCUCCAUACCAAGCUCUAAGUUCCACCAAGGCAAGAGCAUGUUUGCCUUAUUCACUGCUGAUCCUUGGUGUGUGCUGCAAAGUAGACUUUCAAAAAAGCAGGUGUUGCAUGUUGGCAAAACACACUCCUUCUCUUCACCUGGCUAAUUCCUGCCAAUCCUUUAGGUCUCAGUGUACACAUCACCUUCUCUGGGAAUCCUUCCCAGAUGCCCCUGAUUUAAGUAAGGUGCCUCCCUUGUGGGUGCUAUAACAGCCCACCCCUGGGGGGGGUGCUUCCCACCACAAGACCCCUGGACGAUGACUGCUCAUUUGUUGGUCUCCAUCCCCCACUGGACAGUAAAUUUCCAAGGUAAGGGCUGGCAUCUCAUUCACUGGGGCACCUCCAGCACCCAGCUCAGAACCUGGCCUACAGUUUAUCACCGAAAAAACAAAUCAGAGGUCCAAUCUGGACAAGAGACUGUGGCUCACACUGUGGCGGUGGAUGGAGGGGAUGGGACCCAGAGGCUUAAGGUGAGGGAGUCAUGAAUCCUGUGUGGAGUUGGCUGGGACCGUGGAGAGCGCUCGUCAGGCAUAGGAAAGACCUGUGCCCAAUGAAUCAGGGCGCCCUGAGUCCUGGGAGAGCCCAGUUUGGGUUCCUACAGGUUUCUUGAGAGAGCCAGACAGAGCUGAAUGUUGGGGGUGGGUGGUGGUGUUUGGGACUACUGGUAAGUUGGAAAGAGGGGUCUGGCACUGAGAGGCCGACACAAGAGCUCCUUGGCCAGCUAGCUGAGAGCCCUCCCAGUGCCCAGAAUGGGCCGCUGUGAGGAUGCCAUCUGGGUGCCCUUGUCCCAUGGGCUCGCAAGGGCCCAUGUGCUUUCUGUCUGCAUGCAAAGUGAGGGGCAAGGCUGGCUGUGGCGGUUCCGCCCCCUCUUCUGCCGGCUCUGGCUCCAGGAUUAUCGUUCAGCAAAUGAAGUCUUGUUGCCCUUACCCUGCACUAGGUCCUCACUCAAGGAGCCCGGCCAAGAGUGUGGAGCCUUUGGGGGUCUUAUCAGGCUGUCUACUCCCAAAAUCCCUUGGACUCCAGGUGUAGCCCUAGGGGCUUGGCUUUACCUCAGUGUCCCCACUGCAUGGUAAAAGAGCCUUCGUAAAUCCAAGGGAUGGAAGAGUUUUGCACACAGUAGGUACUUAAUGAAUGCUUGUUGAAACCCAGCUGGGAUCCCAAAACUGUCAUCCCCCACACUUGUUUUUCUAGCCACCUGUUUAGAACAGCAUAGACCUAUGAGCUCAUUUAUAAACCUAAUGAAAGCUGUUAGAGGACAAGGGUAGAGAACAGAGCCUAUGGCACUCUACUAGGUAUUUCCUUCUGGGCUGGUAUGAACCCAUGUUCAGCAGUGUUUAGGAGUUUCCCAGGUUAUUAGAUAAUAAAUUGGGCCCAACUUUGUGGCCAUAGAACUCAUCUCUUCCUGACCUUUCUAGAAUAAAGUAUGGGGAAAGUCUGAUAAUACCUUUCAGGAACUCUUUGGGUUCUGUUGACUUUCUCCUCUCUCCCAGAGCCAGCCGCUACCUUCUGUGUGUACUGACCAUCAUGGGGAGCUGAUCACCUCUGUGGAGACGGGGUACUUAUUGGCCUUGGAAUAGAUACUCUGGCCCAUUCUCAAGGGAUGAGUCUGAGGGAGGGGGCAAUGCGAGGGGACAAAGGCAGGGCACAGAGAAGAAGAGCCCCUGGGCUAUCCCCCUCUCUCUGCUUCUCACACUGCUCUUCCUGGUCACCCCAAAUGGGCUUCUCCUUUUCCCACCCACCCCUCAUCUCCUGAGGCCACAGGCUCCCCCCGAGUCAAGCAGGGUGGUUCACGACCCCUGUUACAGUGAGAGCUGCCACCUUACUCCCCGGAGGACCUGGC